Molecule: small nucleolar RNA, 91 nt
Filed under: Otolemur garnettii (small-eared galago)
Lineage: Eukaryota; Metazoa; Chordata; Mammalia; Primates; Galagidae
Description: Small nucleolar RNA SNORA11
Rfam family: Small nucleolar RNA SNORA11
About the family: U107 (SNORA11) is a member of the H/ACA class of snoRNAs that guide the sites of modification of uridines to pseudouridines.
Source: Rfam by way of RNAcentral
AAAAUAUGUUCCUUAAUAACAUACCUAACAGUGUCAUUAUGAUGAAGGGCACAAAAUUUGUAGCCUCCCUAUGAACAAAUACCCUAGUUGU